UCAAAAUUGAGAUCAUCUACGUGUUUAACCAAUGCAGUUUCCCAACAAUAUCUUCUCAAAAGAAAGUACCACAUAAUCUAUAUCCCCCUCAAGCGAUAAUAUGUUUCCCUUCAAUCAAGAAGGUCGUAUACUCUUUCGAAAUCCUGUAGAGCCCAGAUUCUCGGAGAGACUCCACUCCACCACCUCGAGAGUUCAUCAUCAAGUAAUCUCCCGUCAUUGCGACUUGCCCACAGUUUUGUUUGGUCUGAAUAUAGAAUGGAACUUAUCUUACCUAUCGAGAUUGAGUGUUAAAACCUAUUUUUUCAAUUAAUUGUCUAUGUUAUUAAAUAAAGUUCAUAUGAGUCGAAUCGUAUUUGUAAAUCUUGAAUUAUAGCAUUUAAGAUGUUUAAAAUAGUAGAUAUUAGUUCAUAUAUUUUAAGCAAAUGGAAUGAGUCAUCUUGAUCUUCUAAUCAAG
Molecule: long non-coding RNA, 454 nt
Filed under: Olea europaea subsp. europaea
Lineage: Eukaryota; Viridiplantae; Streptophyta; Magnoliopsida; Lamiales; Oleaceae
Source: RNAcentral